RNAcentral lists this long non-coding RNA (713 nucleotides) under Equus caballus (horse). RNAcentral's name for it is "lncRNA (ENSECAG00000060356.1)". The record is from RNAcentral. Lineage: Eukaryota; Metazoa; Chordata; Mammalia; Perissodactyla; Equidae.
AACAAAUCCCCCUGAGUCCAUUGUAAAUGAAGCAGAAAGAAUUGUGGCCAGGGCUAGCCGGAAUAACAUUUCCUCUGCACACAAGAUCAUAUCAUCCUGCCCACCAAGCUUGGGAAGACAUUACUCAGCCUUCAGUUCAACUAUAACUUAUUUCAUUUCAAGUACCAAGAUAAUACUUCUUAAGUGGCAACAGGACACAGAUAUUUUUCCCCUGUUCCUCUUUGACAACUCCAUGGAUUGCCAUCAGGCCAUCAGGAUACAAUUUUGUGGCUCUACUCCCAGAAGUUUGAGGUGUUUUUUCCUUAAUGGAUAUGUGGGAGAUAAGUCUUGUCUGAAUUUCACAGUAGGUCCCAAAACUCUAUCCUCAUAUUCAAGAAAAAGACUUUUGGAGAUAAUCAGAAAAAUAUCUAGGUUUAAACUCUGAAUCGGAUCCAUCAAGGACUAUCAUAAAAAAUAAGAGCACUACAAAUUUGUUUGCAAUCGUAUCAGGAGUUGACUUCUACUCUUAUUUUUCCCUGGAGGUGUACAGAAUUCUGAGUUUAGUCAUGCCAAACAAGACAUCAGAGAAUUCCUCCUUUUAUGACUUACAGAUUACGCAGUUACAAGCUGUGAUAUUCUUCUUUAUGUUGUUCACCUACUUUUUGAGUGUAAUUGGAAACAGGACCAUUGUCAUGUUAAAACACUAUCUAAUGUUUAUUUGAAGACUCCCAUGU